UACAGAGGUCCCGAGCGUUGUUCGGAUUCACUGGGCGUAAAGGGUGCGCAGGUGGCCUGUCAAGUUUGAUGUGAAAGCCCCGGGCUUAACCCGGGAAUGGCAUUGAAUACUGAUGGGCUGGAGGAUUGGAGGGGGGACUGGAAUUCUUGGUGUAGCAGUGAAAUGCGUAGAUAUCAAGAGGAACACCAGUGGCGAAGGCGAGUCCCUGGACAAUACCUGACACUGAGGCACGAAAGCCAAGGGAGCAAACAGG
RNAcentral lists this ribosomal RNA (253 nucleotides) under uncultured prokaryote. Its description in RNAcentral is "partial 16S ribosomal RNA". It matches the Rfam family "Bacterial small subunit ribosomal RNA", at positions 524 to 776 of the family's 1533-position model. The record is from RNAcentral.